RNAcentral lists this long non-coding RNA (972 nucleotides) under Marmota monax (woodchuck). The record is from RNAcentral. Lineage: Eukaryota; Metazoa; Chordata; Mammalia; Rodentia; Sciuridae.
CACCGAGUCGCUUAGUGCCUCACUUUUGCUGAAGCUGGCUUUGAACUCCCGAUCCUCCUGUCUCAGCCUCCAAGCUGCUGGGAUGACAGGUGUGUGCCCAGCAGAGUAGCAGUUCUGAUGAGCUCUGAAUGGCCUUUGGAAUUCUUCUUCCCUUUCUCAAGGAAUAAUGAAUGUUGGAAGCCUUCAUUGCCUCUCGUUUAGUCUCCUUUAACUCUGGUUCCCAUGGACAUGGCCCAUCAGGACCCCGGUUCACAUCUGAUGGCCACAACCUUGGUGUUCUCAUUCAGCCGUGAAGUCCUUUCUCUCUCCUCACAUUUAACUGUUGAGCUGCCUGUCAACUUGCAGUGUGGUUACUUCCUGUUAAAGCCAUCAUCCCCUGAGAAUAUCCUAAGCUGAAAAUGCAUCUGGUUCACAAAACACACCCAGCGUCACAGCAAUAGCCUACGACGUAGACUGCCGGUUGUUUGCCCUGUGGUCUUGUGGCUGGCUGGCAGCUGUGGCCACUGCCAGCAUCACAUUGGUAGCCUAGGAAAAGAUCAAAGUUCAAAGUAUGGUUUCUACUAAAUGCACGUCACCUUCGCACCAUUGUAAGGUCAAAAGCAUCGCAAGCAUGUUGGGGACCUUCUGAGUUGGUCACCAGGAGGAACCAACCCAGUCCUCUGACACUUUGCCUAGGAAUCUCCUUAGCCACAAACUCAGCUUCUUCACUUGCAAAACACCAGAGCACAAACAGAUCAUCAGAGUUAUCUAGUGCUUUAUAACAAUGAUUUGCCUUUCCUGUUUGCGGUAACGUGAGCCUCGCUUCUGCCUGAGACCUGCCAAGAGUGGCCUUUCCCCCAAUCUUUUCACCAAUAUUCAUCUGUUCCUCAUGAUGUAUCUUCUAAGGAGACAGAAGUGGCCUCCACAGCUCUCCUUUCUUUUGGAGUCCUCACUGGAAUCACCUUUGGUAUCUGUAGUUCUAGCACAUUCCCC